UACGUAGGGACCGAGCGUUAUCCGGAUUCAUUGGGCGUAAAGAGCUCGUAGGCGGCUAUUCAAGUCGAACGUGAAAUCUCGGGGCUCAACUCCGGGCCUGCGUUCGAUACUGGGUAGCUAGAGUCUGGUAGGGGGAUCUGGAAUUCCUGGUGUAGCGGUGGAAUGCGCAGAUAUCAGGAGGAACACCGGUGGCGAAGGCGGGAUCCUGGGCCAGUACUGACGCUGAGGAGCGAAAGCGUGGGGAGCAAACAGG
This 253-nucleotide ribosomal RNA is filed under the name uncultured bacterium. RNAcentral describes it as "partial 16S ribosomal RNA". It matches the Rfam family "Bacterial small subunit ribosomal RNA", at positions 524 to 776 of the family's 1533-position model. The record is from RNAcentral.